This 402-nucleotide ribosomal RNA is filed under the name uncultured microorganism. Its description in RNAcentral is "bacterial SSU rRNA". It matches the Rfam family "Archaeal small subunit ribosomal RNA", at positions 330 to 731 of the family's 1478-position model. The record is from RNAcentral.
GCGCAGCAGUCGAGAAUCCUCCGCAAUGCGGGAAACCGUGACGGGGUCACCCCGAGUGCCACCCCGAUGAGGGUGGCUUUUCCCCGGUCUAAAAAGCCGGGGGCAAUAAGCGGGGGGCAAGUCUGGUGUCAGCCGCCGCGGUAAUACCAGCCCCGCGAGUGGUCGGGACGUUUAUUGGGCCUAAAGCGUCCGUAGCCGGCUCGGUAAGUCCCUCCUUAAAUCCACGGGCUCAACCCGUGGGCUGGGAGGGAUACUGCCGGGCUAGGGGGCGGGAGAGGCCGAGGGUACUCCCGGGGUAGGGGCGAAAUCCGUUAAUCCCGGGAGGACCACCAGUGGCGAAGGCGCUCGGUUGGAACGCGCCCGACGGUGAGGGACGAAAGGCUGGGGGAGCAAAGGGGAUUA